This 651-nucleotide ribosomal RNA is filed under the name Escherichia coli. RNAcentral's name for it is "partial 23S ribosomal RNA". It matches the Rfam family "Bacterial large subunit ribosomal RNA", at positions 2270 to 2916 of the family's 2925-position model. The record is from RNAcentral. Lineage: Bacteria; Pseudomonadati; Pseudomonadota; Gammaproteobacteria; Enterobacterales; Enterobacteriaceae.
UGACUGGGGCGGUCUCCUCCUAAAGAGUAACGGAGGAGCACGAAGGUUGGCUAAUCCUGGUCGGACAUCAGGAGGUUAGUGCAAUGGCAUAAGCCAGCUUGACUGCGAGCGUGACGGCGCGAGCAGGUGCGAAAGCAGGUCAUAGUGAUCCGGUGGUUCUGAAUGGAAGGGCCAUCGCUCAACGGAUAAAAGGUACUCCGGGGAUAACAGGCUGAUACCGCCCAAGAGUUCAUAUCGACGGCGGUGUUUGGCACCUCGAUGUCGGCUCAUCACAUCCUGGGGCUGAAGUAGGUCCCAAGGGUAUGGCUGUUCGCCAUUUAAAGUGGUACGCGAGCUGGGUUUAGAACGUCGUGAGACAGUUCGGUCCCUAUCUGCCGUGGGCGCUGGAGAACUGAGGGGGGCUGCUCCUAGUACGAGAGGACCGGAGUGGACGCAUCACUGGUGUUCGGGUUGUCAUGCCAAUGGCACUGCCCGGUAGCUAAAUGCGGAAGAGAUAAGUGCUGAAAGCAUCUAAGCACGAAACUUGCCCCGAGAUGAGUUCUCCCUGAGACUUUAAGUCUCCUGAAGGAACGUUGAAGACGACGACGUUGAUAGGCCGGGUGUGUAAGCGCAGCGAUGCGUUGAGCUAACCGGUACUAAUGAACCGUGAGG